RNAcentral lists this ribosomal RNA (855 nucleotides) under uncultured bacterium. RNAcentral's name for it is "bacterial SSU rRNA". It matches the Rfam family "Bacterial small subunit ribosomal RNA", at positions 71 to 903 of the family's 1533-position model. The record is from RNAcentral.
AAGUCGGCUUCGGCUGGCAAGUACCGUGGCGAACGGGUGAGUAACACGUGGGUAAUCUAACCUCGAGUUUGGGAUAACCUUGCGAAAGCGGGGCUAAUACCGAAUAAGACCACGCUCAGUUCGCUGGGUGCGGUAAAAGGCGGCCUCUUCUUGAAAGCUGUCACUUGAGGAUGAGCCCGCGGCCUAUUAGCUAGUUGGUGGGGUAAUGGCCUACCAAGGCGACGAUGGGUAGCCGGCCUGAGAGGGUGUACGGCCACACUGGCACUGAGAUACGGGCCAGACUCCUACGGGAGGCAGCAGUGGGGAAUUUUGCGCAAUGGGGGAAACCCUGACGCAGCAACGCCGCGUGAGUGAUGAAGGCCUUCGGGUCGUAAAGCUCUUUUAGUGGGGAAGAAUCCCACCCGGGCUAAUACCUCGGGUGUCUGACGGUACCCACAGAAAAAGUUCCGGCUAACUACGUGCCAGCAGCCGCGGUAAUACGUAGGGAGCAAGCGUUGUUCGGAAUUAUUGGGCGUAAAGAGCGCGUAGGCGGUUCGGUAAGUCUGACGUGAAAUCCCAGAGCUUAACUCUGGAACUGCGUUGGAUACUGCCGAGCUUGAGUGUGGGAGAGGAGAGUGGAAUUCCCAGUGUAGAGGUGAAAUUCGUAGAUAUUGGGAGGAACACCCGUGGCGAAAGCGGCUCUCUGGACCACAACUGACGCUGAGGCGCGAAAGCUAGGGUAGCAAACGGGAUUAGAUACCCCGGUAGUCCUAGCCGUAAACGAUGGGCACUAGGUGUUGGAGGUAUCGACUCCUCCAGUGCCGCAGCUACGCAUUAAGUGCCUCGCCUGGGGAGUACGUCGCAGACUAAAACUCA